This 253-nucleotide ribosomal RNA is filed under the name uncultured bacterium. RNAcentral describes it as "partial 16S ribosomal RNA". It matches the Rfam family "Bacterial small subunit ribosomal RNA", at positions 524 to 776 of the family's 1533-position model. The record is from RNAcentral.
UACGUAGGGUGCGAGCGUUAAUCGGAAUUACUGGGCGUAAAGCGUGCGCAGGCGGUUCGUUAAGUUCGUUGUGAAAGCCCCGGGCUCAACCUGGGAACUGCAAUGGAAACUGGCGGGCUUGAAUGCGGCAGAGGGGGGUGGAAUUCCGCGUGUAGCAGUGAAAUGCGUAGAUAUCUGGAGGAAUACCGGUGGCGAAGGCGGCAUCCUGGACCAUUACUGACGCUGAGGCGCGAAAGCUAGGGGAGCAAACGGG